Small nucleolar RNA from Cordyceps militaris CM01, 91 nucleotides. It matches the Rfam family "A. fumigatus snoRNA Afu_455". The record is from Rfam. NCBI's taxonomy places the organism in Eukaryota, Fungi, Ascomycota, Sordariomycetes, Hypocreales, Cordycipitaceae.
CCGAAUGAUGAUCAAAACGACACCUCAGGGAUUCCUCAUGCUUAAUACAUAAUGUGGAUAACGUUGCUUUAAGUUUCAGCCUUGUCUGACU